CAGCCGUAAACUAUGCUCGCUAGGUGUCAGGCAUGGCGCGACCGUGUCUGGUGCCGCAGGGAAGCCGUGAAGCGAGCCACCUGGGAAGUACGGCCGCAAGGCUGAACUUAAGGAAUUGGCGGGGGAGCACAACAACGGGUGGAGCCUGCGGUUUAAUUGGACUCAACGCCGGACAACUCACCGGGAACGACAGCAAUAUGUAGGCCAGGCUGAAGACCUUGCCUGAAUCGCUGAGAGGAGGUGCAUGGCGUAGACGUCU
Molecule: ribosomal RNA, 259 nt
Filed under: uncultured archaeon
Lineage: Archaea
Description: partial 16S ribosomal RNA
Rfam family: Archaeal small subunit ribosomal RNA
Source: RNAcentral